GUCUACGGCUAUGUCACCCUGAAUGCGCCUGAUCCCAAAUGAUCUUGGAAGCUCAGCAGGGUCAGGCUCGGUUAGUACUUGGAUGGGAGACCGCCUGAGAAUACUGGGUGCUGUAAGCU
RNAcentral lists this ribosomal RNA (119 nucleotides) under Mus pahari (shrew mouse). The record is from RNAcentral. Lineage: Eukaryota; Metazoa; Chordata; Mammalia; Rodentia; Muridae.